Molecule: ribosomal RNA, 950 nt
Filed under: Rahnella inusitata
Lineage: Bacteria; Pseudomonadati; Pseudomonadota; Gammaproteobacteria; Enterobacterales; Yersiniaceae
Description: partial 16S ribosomal RNA
Source: RNAcentral
UCACUGCAUCACACGUGGUAGCGCCCUCCCGACGGUUAAGCUACCUACUUUCUUGUUGCAACCCACUCCCAUGGUGUGACGGGCGGUGUGUACAAGGACCCGGGAACGUAUUCACCGUAGCAUUCUGAUCUACGAUUACUAGCGAUUCCGACUUCAUGGAGUCGAGUUGCAGACUCCAAUCCGGACUACGACAUACUUUAUGAGGUCCGCUUGCUCUCGCGAGUUUGCUUCUCUUUGUAUAUGCCAUUGUAGCACGUGUGUAGCCCUACUCGUAAGGGCCAUGAUGACUUGACGUCAUCCCCACCUUCCUCCGGUUUAUCACCGGCAGUCUCCUUUGAGUUCCCACCAUUACGUGCUGGCAACAAAGGAUAAGGGUUGCGCUCGUUGCGGGACUUAACCCAACAUUUCACAACGCGAGCUGACGACAGCCAUGCAGCACCUGUCUCAGAGUUCCCGAAGGCACUAAGCUAUCUCUAGCGAAUUCUCUGGAUGUCAAGAGUAGGUAAGGUUCUUCGCGUUGCAUCGAAUUAAACCACAUGCUCCCCGCUUGUGCGGGCCCCCGUCAUUCAUUUGAGUUUUAACCUUGCGGCCGUACUCGCCAGGCGGUCGACUUAUGCGUUAGCUCCGGAAGCCACGCCUCAAGGGCACAACCUCCAAGUCGACAUCGUUUAGGCGUGGACUACCAGGGUAUCUGAUCCUGUUUGCUCCCACGCUUUCGCACCUGAGCGUCAGUCUUUGUCGGGGGGCCGCCUUCGGACCGGUAUUCCUCCAGAUCUCUACGCAUUCACGCUACACCUGGAAUCUACCCCCUCUACAGACUCUAGCUUGCCAGUUUCAAUGCAGUUCCAAGUUAGCUCGGGAUUCACAUCUGACUUAACAAACCGCUGCGUGCGCUUUCGCCAGUAUUCGAUUACGCUUGCACCUCGUAUACCGCGCUGUGGCACGGAUUA